This 468-nucleotide ribosomal RNA is filed under the name uncultured bacterium. RNAcentral describes it as "partial 16S ribosomal RNA". It matches the Rfam family "Bacterial small subunit ribosomal RNA", at positions 28 to 507 of the family's 1533-position model. The record is from RNAcentral.
GAUGAACGCUGGCGGCGUGCUUAACACAUGCAAGUCGAACGGAAAGGCCAGUGCUUGCACUGGUACUCGAGUGGCGAACGGGUGAGUAACACGUGGGUGAUCUGCCCUGCACUUCGGGAUAAGCCUGGGAAACUGGGUCUAAUACCGGAUAGGACAAUGGUUUGGAUGCCGUUGUGGAAAGUUUUUUCGGUGUGGGAUGAGCUCGCGGCCUAUCAGCUUGUUGGUGGGGUAAUGGCCUACCAAGGCGUCGACGGGUAGCCGGCCUGAGAGGGUGUACGGCCACAUUGGGACUGAGAUACGGCCCAGACUCCUACGGGGGGCAGCAGUGGGGAAUAUUGGACAAUGGGCGCAAGCCUGAUGCAGCGACGCCGCGUGGGGGAUGACGGCCUUCGGGUUGUAAACUCCUUUCGCUAGGGACGAAGCGUAUUUGUGACGGUACCUGGAGAAGAAGCACCGGCUAACUACGUG